GACGAACGCUGGCGGCGUGCCUAAUACAUGCAAGUCGUGCGGACCUUGUUGAAAGCUUGCUUUUAAAAGGUUAGCGGCGGACGGGUGAGUAACACGUGGGCAACCUGCCUGUAAGACUGGGAUAACGCCGGGAAACCGGGGCUAAUACCGGAUCGUUUUUUCCUCCGCAUGGAGGAAAAAGGAAAGGCGGCUUCGGCUGCCACUUACAGAUGGGCCCGCGGCGCAUUAGCUAGUUGGCGGGGUAAUGGCCCACCAAGGCAACGAUGCGUAGCCGACCUGAGAGGGUGAUCGGCCACAUUGGGACUGAGACACGGCCCAAACUCCUACGGGAGGCAGCAGUAGGGAAUCUUCCGCAAUGGACGAAAGUCUGACGGAGCAACGCCGCGUGAGUGAAGAAGGCCUUCGGGUCGUAAAACUCUGUUGCCGGGGAAGAACAAGUGCCGUUCGAACAGGGCGGCGCCUUGACGGUACCCGGCCAGAAAGCCACGGCUAACUACGUG
Molecule: ribosomal RNA, 500 nt
Filed under: uncultured bacterium
Lineage: Bacteria
Description: partial 16S ribosomal RNA
Rfam family: Bacterial small subunit ribosomal RNA
Source: RNAcentral